Molecule: long non-coding RNA, 1071 nt
Organism: Cyprinus carpio (common carp)
Lineage: Eukaryota; Metazoa; Chordata; Actinopteri; Cypriniformes; Cyprinidae
Source: Ensembl
AUGUUGCAAGGACAGCUUCUUUCUCAAAGUCACUCGGUUACAGAACAGAAUGUGUUAGAUCAUGUGAGUUAUUUCCAUGAAAGAUUGCAUUCUGUCUGGAAGUUGGCACGGCAGAGCUUAGAAAGUUCACAGACUCAAUUGAAAAGUAGAUACGAUAAAAACACUAUUCAACACUCAUUUAAGCCUGGUGAAGAAGUUCUUGUGUUACUGCCUUCGCCUUGGUCAACUCUCCAAGCUAAAUUUGCAGGUCCAUAUGUGACUGAGGAAAAGUUAAGUGACACUGACUAUGUGGUAAAAACCCCUGACUGGAAAAGGAAAGAGAGGGUAUUUCAUAUUAACAUGCUAAAAUUGUAUGUUUCUCGUCCUAUGCCUGAAUGCACAGUUCGACUUCCUAUUAUUAUAUCUGUGAGUGCAGUCUCCUCUGACUAUUCACCUAGUGUAGAUGAUCUACGAAUUGGAAGUGCCUGUUUGUCUGACAUUUUUCUGAAAAAUUCUAUAACCCUUGUGGUAAUCAGUUCAAAACUCUCUCACUUAUCUAGUUCAUCUCAAAAGGAACUAAUGCAGUUGAUUGAAAAGUAUUCUUCACUGUUUUCUGAUGUGCCCACUGUAACAAAUGUGUUGGAGCAUGAUAUUGAUGUGGGUGAUCAUCAUCCUGUUAAGCAAAAUGCUUAUCGUAUCAAUCCAGUAAAGUGUGAGAUCAUGCAGAAGGAAACGCAGUACUUGAUUGAGCAUGGCUUAGCUGUGCCAAGUUCAAGUCCCUGGUGUUCCCCAUGCCUUUUAGUUCCUAAGCCAGAUGGAACAUCACGCUUCUGCACAGAUUACCGAAAAGUUAAUCAGUUGACUAAAUCAGACUCAUUCCCUCUUCCUAGAAUAGAUGAUUGUGUUGACCGCAUUGGUCAGGCCAAAUUUGUGACAAAGCUAGAUUUACUAAAAGGGUAUUGGCAGGUGCCACUCACUGAUCGUGCUUCAGAAAUCUCCGCUUUCGCUACUCCAGAUGUUUUCCUGCAAUACAAGGUUCUUCCCUUCGGCCUGAAAAAUGCUCCAGCGUUUAAUGAGCAAGGUGCUGUCUAA